GACGAACGCUGGCGGCGUGCUUAACACAUGCAAGUCGAACGCGAUUCAGGGAGCAGUUUACUGUGAACUGAUGAGAGUGGCGGACGGGUGAGUAACGCGUGGGUAACCUGGCCUAUGGAUGGGGAUAGCCUCGGGAAACCGGGAUUAAUACCGAAUAACGUUAGAUGGUCGCAUGAUCGUUUAACCAAAGGAUUUAUUGCCAUAGGAUGGACCCGCGUCCCAUUAGCUAGUUGGUAGGGUAAUGGCCUACCAAGGCGAAGAUGGGUAGCCGGCCUGAGAGGGUGAACGGCCACACUGGGACUGAGACACGGCCCAGACUCCUACGGGUGGCUG
This 333-nucleotide ribosomal RNA is filed under the name uncultured Bacillota bacterium. RNAcentral describes it as "bacterial SSU rRNA". It matches the Rfam family "Bacterial small subunit ribosomal RNA", at positions 28 to 351 of the family's 1533-position model. Lineage: Bacteria; Bacillati; Bacillota. The record is from RNAcentral.